RNAcentral lists this unclassified non-coding RNA (224 nucleotides) under plant metagenome. Its description in RNAcentral is "partial contains small subunit ribosomal RNA, internal transcribed spacer 1, and 5.8S ribosomal RNA". The record is from RNAcentral.
UCUCCGUUGGUGAACCAGCGGAGGGAUCAUUACAGGACUCGCAAGACUCCUACAACCCUGUGAACUUAACUAUAAGCACGUUGCUUCGGCGGGUGUCUCGGAGGGGGUUCUCCCUCCCCGAGACGCUAAACCCGCCGGCAGCCUCUAUACUCUGUCUCUUUGCGUUGGCAUCUCGAGUACAAUCAAACAAGUUAAAACUUUCAACAACGGAUCUCUUGGUUCUG